RNAcentral lists this unclassified non-coding RNA (27 nucleotides) under Dictyostelium discoideum. Lineage: Eukaryota; Evosea; Eumycetozoa; Dictyosteliales; Dictyosteliaceae. The record is from RNAcentral.
GAAGUUUGAGGCAAUAACAGGUCUGUG